AACGAACGCUGGCGGCAGGCUUUACACAUGCAAGUCGAACGGGCAUAGCAAUAUGUCAGUGGCAGACGGGUGAGUAACACGUGGGAACCUUCCUAGAGGUACGGAACAACGCAGGGAAACUUGUGCUAAUACCGUAUACGCUCGAGCGAGGAAAGAUUUAUAGCCUUUAGACGGGCCCGCGUAGGAUUAGGUAGUUGGUGAGGUAAUGGCUCAACAAGCCUACAAUGCUUAGCUGGUCUGAGAGGAUGAUCAGCCACACUGGAACUGAGACACGGUCCAGACUCCUACGGGAGGCAGCAGUGGGGAAUCUUGGACAAUGGGCGCAAGCCUGAUCCAGCCAUGCCGCGUGAGUGAAGAAGGCCUUCGGGUUGUAAAGCUCUUUUACCAGGGACGAUAAUGACGGUACCUGGAGAAUAAGCCCCGGCUAACUUCGUGCCAGCAGCCGCAGUAA
Molecule: ribosomal RNA, 451 nt
Filed under: uncultured bacterium
Lineage: Bacteria
Description: partial 16S ribosomal RNA
Rfam family: Bacterial small subunit ribosomal RNA
Source: RNAcentral